Molecule: ribosomal RNA, 427 nt
Filed under: uncultured bacterium
Lineage: Bacteria
Description: bacterial SSU rRNA
Rfam family: Bacterial small subunit ribosomal RNA
Source: RNAcentral
UGGGGAAUUUUGGACAAUGGGCGAAAGCCUGAUCCAGCAAUGCUGCGUGUGUGAAGAAGGCCUUCGGGUUGUAAAGCACUUUUGUCCGGAAAGAAAUCCUCUGGGUUAAUACCUCGGGGGGAUGACGGUACCGGAAGAAUAAGCACCGGCUAACUACGUGCCAGCAGCCGCGGUAAUACGUAGGGUGCAAGCGUUAAUCGGAAUUACUGGGCGUAAAGCGUGCGCAGGCGGUUUUGUAAGACGGAUGUGAAAUCCCCGGGCUUAACCUGGGAACUGCAUUCGNGACUGCAAGGCUAGAGUAUGGCAGAGGGGGGUAGAAUUCCACGUGUAGCAGUGAAAUGCGUAGAGAUGUGGAGGAAUACCGAUGGCGAAGGCAGCCCCCUGGGCCAAUACUGACGCUCAUGCACGAAAGCGUGGGGAGCAAACA